RNAcentral lists this transfer RNA (74 nucleotides) under Myxococcales bacterium. Its description in RNAcentral is "tRNA-Gln". It matches the Rfam family "tRNA". Rfam says of the family: Transfer RNA (tRNA) molecules are approximately 80 nucleotides in length. The record is from RNAcentral. RNAcentral also lists the same sequence under 1 other name. Lineage: Bacteria; Pseudomonadati; Myxococcota; Myxococcia; Myxococcales.
UCCCCGGUCGUCUAAUGGCAGGACAGCAGACUCUGAAUCUGCAUGUGAAGGUUCGAAUCCUUCCCGGGGAUCCA